Molecule: small RNA, 83 nt
Filed under: Flavobacterium glycines
Lineage: Bacteria; Pseudomonadati; Bacteroidota; Flavobacteriia; Flavobacteriales; Flavobacteriaceae
Description: Flavo-1 RNA
Rfam family: Flavo-1 RNA
Source: RNAcentral
CUAUAGCCCCGAUUCUAGUGGAAAUCCUUGUGGCGGCAGGCAUUUAUGCCGACACAAGAUUAAAGCGAAAAGCGGGAACUAUA